This 258-nucleotide ribosomal RNA is filed under the name uncultured bacterium. Its description in RNAcentral is "partial 16S ribosomal RNA". It matches the Rfam family "Bacterial small subunit ribosomal RNA", at positions 524 to 777 of the family's 1533-position model. The record is from RNAcentral.
UACGGAGGGAGCUAGCGUUAUUCGGAAUUACUGGGCGUAAAGCGCACGUAGGCGGCUUUGUAAGUUAGAGGUGAAAGCCUGGAGCUCAACUCCAGAAUUGCCUUUAAGACUGCAUCGCUUGAAUCCAGGAGAGGUGAGUGGAAUUCCGAGUGUAGAGGUGAAAUUCGUAGAUAUUCGGAAGAACACCAGUGGCGAAGGCGGCUCACUGGACUGGUAUUGACGCGUGGAGGUGACGAAAGCGGUGGGGAGCAAACAGGG